GUGAUUGGUGAAAGACUGCUGCUAGGAGCAGUUCGAGAGGAUUCAGUUGCAGGUCCAUAAAAGGGAGAUGAAGGACCGCUCGGAGCUGAUUGUGGGGAUUUUCCUGGUGAGGGAGAAGAUUUUGGAGCCGGAGAAUCCGAUGGUGGAGUAGGUGAUGUUUGUGAGGUUGCUAGGUGUCUAUAUCAAUCUUCAUUGAAAAAUGAAGAGUUCGUGUAACUUUGAUCCGGUGUGUACCACGAAACUGCAGAUAAUAGGUAUGUCACAUGAUGCUCAAAUAACAAAGGAAUGAAGUACCAUUUCUUUUAGCAA
This is a long non-coding RNA of Gossypium arboreum, 309 nucleotides long. RefSeq lists it as uncharacterized. The transcript has 2 exons. Lineage: Eukaryota; Viridiplantae; Streptophyta; Magnoliopsida; Malvales; Malvaceae. The record is from RefSeq and is a predicted model, not a curated record.